CCAGGUUCAAUCCUCAGUCCUUAAACAAACAAACAAACAAACAAACAAACAAACAAGAAAGACAUUCAAAGGUGGUUGACUUCUAAGACUCCCAAAGAAAAUCGAAUCCUAGGAGAGUUUAUAGAAAAUACUAGUGUUUUGGAAAACAAACACUGGAAAAGACUUCUGAAUACCGGCAAGCUGGGCAGCACUGAGUCAAACAACUUUUUGCGGUGCAUGUUCAGUACAUGUCUCAAAGGUUUUAUUGAAAAAACCUACUUUAGAAUAUAUUUUAUUGUAGUAUAAGAUGCAUGCUCAUGGUCAAAGAUGUAGAAUGCCCCUUCGGGCAUUAGGGUCGGGACCUCGUAGGACUCCCCAAAGGCUCACUGUGUUGAGUCUCAGUUGCUGAUGGGCUUUUGGGAAGUGAAGGCACUAACUUCAGUGGAUUAAUUUAUAAUUUGAUGGCGUUAUUGGUAGGGGAUGGAGAUAGCAGACAGGGCCCACCUGAAGGGAGUAGAUCGGGGGGUCAUGACCUUGGGGACAUUUGUCCCUGGAAUCUUCCUCUCUGGCUCUUUCCUGUCUCUGCUCCCUGGCUGCCAUGAGGGCAGCAGCUCUCCUCCAUCGCUCCUUUCCGCCGUCAUGUUUCUGCCUCUCCACAAGCUGACAAUCAAUGGAGCCUAGACCCUGGACUACAACCUCUGAAACUCUGAGCCAAAAUGAAUCUUUCCUCGUUUAAAUCGCUAUUCUCAGGUAUUUUGUCAGUGAGGAGAAGCCGACUAACAUAUCCUGCAUAGAAACUCACUGUGAUCUCUCAGAAGACCACUGAAUUCUUCCACCUCUUUUUGGAAAAGCUCCCCACGAAGCCUGAGCUGUUCCCAUACCCUUCUGACAAUCCAUACCGAGAAGUUGGCAAAGAGAAGCAAGCAGAAGUCUAUGAAGCACUGGGAGAGGGUGUCUUCUGCCAGCAGCCCAGAUCCAACUGAGAGGCCGUGGCCAGGUGCCCAUGAAAGGGUCACUGUGGUUUGAAUGUGUCUCAGCGUGAGGGCUGGGAACCUUAAUUCCUCCACACAGCAGUGGUCGGGGGAGAGGCCUUGUGGGAGAGGCGUGGGUCAUCAUGAAUGGACCUAUGAUUUUCUCCCAGGAAUGGCUGAGCUGCUGGGCGGCUUCAGCCCCCUUUUCUCUCAUGUGAGCUUUUUCUUUCCUUUCAACUUCCACCACAUUGGGAGGCAGCACAGGGCUUUCUCUCUCCAGACACAGCUACCUAUGGUGGCCUCCAGAUCAAGAGCAAAGUAAAUGUCUUCUCUCUCUAAGUUACCCGUCUCUGGUAUUCUAUGAUAGCAACAUAAAAUGGGUUCAACAAGGUAUUAAUAAAUAUAUACUCUGGCUUUACCCCUACUUCUGGCAGAGGGGACUCCUGGGAUCUGCUGGCCCUCAGGUAGCAGCAGGGAGGAGCAGGGAGGACGAAGGUGGGAGAACCCUGCACCCCCCGGAAUAGGGGGAUCCUAUUCUGAUGACUUUAUCCAAUCUCCCAAAGGUUACAUAUCCAAAUAGCAUUUAAUGUAUGCAUUUGGGGGUUAAGUUUCCAGGACACAAACUUUUGGGAGAAACAUUCAAACCAAGAAAGAAGACAUAUUCAUUACGAUUGGUGUAACAAUAAAAUAGCUAAAUAAUGUGUGACAUCAUCAUAAGUGUCUACUUAAUGUAGCUCGGGGAAGACUGCUGCCAGGGACGCAGGGUCAGAGGGCCUGAGGUUUUCUUGGAAAUGCUGUGCACUAAGUUUUCAGUCUCCUCUUCUACAAAAUACGAAUGCAGGAAAUAAUAAUAAUAAUAAUAAUAAUAAUAAUAAUACAUAAUUUGAGGGAUUCUGGGGGAUAAGAGAAUAAGGACAGUAAUAGCAGACACUCAUAUAGAACCUACCAUGUGCCGGGCACUUUUCUAAGCAUGUAGCAUAUGUUAACUAACCUAAGAUCAUGAUGUUCUAAUCACCCCCAUCCUACAGGUGAGCUGCUGAGAGUACAGAGAAGCUGAGUAACUGGCCCAACCACACAGCUAAGAAGUGGCCAAGAAAUCAGGUGGUACCUUCAUUUGAGUCUGCUGCCAGUGACGAGGCCAUGCAAAGCAGCUCAGGGAAAGCAGCUUCACUGUUCUUCAAUGAGAAGCGCGCGGAGGCCUCCCAGGUGACUGCUCAGAUGAAGUCCUGGGAAAAGUUCUUGCCAUCUCAUCUCUGCACUCUUGGGACACUGGGUGAGCCUCAGGCAAACAUCUUCUACCUGUGCCACUGGCUAUCUUGGCACUGAAUCUUCAUCUGGUCUAUUCUGUGCCUGGAAUGUGGCUGAGGUGUCCUUGAUGAAGCCCCUCGGGGUGCUGGAUGAUCCAGAGGGGAGACAACGCCAGUGGGCGCCAGCUGAGGCCUGACUUUUCUAGGUGCUCAAGACUGUCUACAGUUUCUUGGUACGGCAGGUGCUUUACCGAUGAUACCCAUUAGAUGUCGCUGUUGUCAUGUUGGAAAUCCUGUACCGGACUUCUAUCAGAACCAUUCCCCACCAUGCUUUGAUUUCAUUAGUUUUACAACAUAAAUGUGUCCAUUUUUAAGU
Fukomys damarensis (Damara mole-rat) is the source of this 2573-nucleotide long non-coding RNA. RefSeq lists it as uncharacterized. Lineage: Eukaryota; Metazoa; Chordata; Mammalia; Rodentia; Bathyergidae. The transcript is spliced from 3 exons. The record is from RefSeq and is a predicted model, not a curated record.